UAAGCAUAUCAAUAAGCGGAGGAAAAGAAACCAACAGGGAUUGCCCCAGUAACGGCGAGUGAAGCGGCAACAGCUCAAAUUUGAAAUCUGGCCCCAGGGUCCGAGUUGUAAUUUGUAGAGGAUGCUUUUGGCGCGGUGCCUUCUGAGUUCCCUGGAACGGGACGCCACAGAGGGUGAGAGCCCCGUAUAGUCGGACACCAAGCCUCUGUAAAGCUCCUUCGACGAGUCGAGUAGUUUGGGAAUGCUGCUCAAAAUGGGAGGUAAAUCUCUUCUAAAGCUAAAUACAGGCUAGAGACCGAUAGCGCACAAGUAGAGUGAUCGAAAGAUGAAAAGCACUUUGAAAAGAGGGUUAAAAAGCACGUGAAAUUGUUGAAAGGGAAGCGCUUGUGACCAGACUUGCGCCCGGUUGAUCAUCCAGCGUUCUCGCUGGUGCACUCUGCCGGGCUCAGGCCAGCAUCGGUUCUUGCGGGGGGAUAAAAGCUGUGGGAAUGUAGCUCCCUCGGGAGUGUUAUAGCCCGCUGCAGAAUACCCCCGCGGGGACCGAGGUACGCGUUCCGCAAGGAUGCUGGCGUAAUGGUCACCAGCGACCCGUCUUGAAACACGGACCAAGGAGUCAAGCAUUAGGGCGAGUGUUUGGGUGUCAAACCCGCACGCGAAAUGAAAGUGAACGUAGGUGAGAGCUUCGGCGCAUCAUCGACCGAUCCUGAUGUAUUCGGAUGGAUUUGAGUAAGAGCCUUACCGCUUGGACCCGAAAGAUGGUGAACUAUGCUUGAAUAGGGUGAAGCCAGAGGAAACUCUGGUGGAGGCUCGCAGCGGUUCUGACGUGCAAAUCGAUCGUCAAAUUUGAGCAUGGGGGCGAAAGACUAAUCGAACCAUCUAGUAGCUGGUUACCGCC
This 895-nucleotide ribosomal RNA is filed under the name Wongia sp. Its description in RNAcentral is "partial large subunit ribosomal RNA". It matches the Rfam family "Eukaryotic large subunit ribosomal RNA", at positions 35 to 962 of the family's 3401-position model. Lineage: Eukaryota; Fungi; Ascomycota; Sordariomycetes; Papulosaceae. The record is from RNAcentral.